GAUGAACGCUGGCGGCGUGCCUAAUACAUGCCAGUAGAACGCUGAAGGAAGGAGCUUGCUCUUUCCGGAUGAGUUGCGAACGGGUGAGUAACGCGUAGGUAACCUGCCUGGUAGCGGGGGAUAACUAUUGGAAACGAUAGCUAAUACCGCAUAACAGUAGAUGUUGCAUGAUAUCUACUUAAAAGGUGCAAUUGCACCACUACCAGAUGGACCUGCGUUGUAUUAGCUAGUUGGUGAGGUAACGGCUCACCAAGGCGACGAUACAUAGCCGACCUGAGAGGGUGGUCGGCCACACUGGGACUGAGACACGGCCCAGACUCCUACGGGAGGCAGCAGUAGGGAAUCUUCGGCAAUGGACGGAAGUCUGACCGAGCAACGCCGCGGGAGUGAAGAAGGUUUUCGGAUCGUAAAGCUCUGUUGUAAGAGAAGAACGAGUGUGAGAGUGGAAAGUUCACACUGUGACGGUAUCUUACCAGAAAGGGACGGCUAACUACGUG
RNAcentral lists this ribosomal RNA (497 nucleotides) under uncultured bacterium. Its description in RNAcentral is "partial 16S ribosomal RNA". It matches the Rfam family "Bacterial small subunit ribosomal RNA", at positions 28 to 507 of the family's 1533-position model. The record is from RNAcentral.